GAAGCACGCAUGUUACGGCAUACCGGCUGCUGAAUCUACUCGGAGAUCUCCCUUCAGUAAGGACUGUAACAGGAGCUUGCUGGAUCUUGGCUCUCUAUUUAGAGUAAGAAUGAGAGAAAUUGAAGUUCCCCCUGUUCUGCACAAAGCACAGGAGAAGGACGAGAAGUAGGAGUUGCCUGUCUCCAGCUACAGCCCAGGCACAGGGGACAGAGGUGCACCCAGAGCCGCUGCAGUGCAGCUGACUUCCUCCACAUCCAGAAGUGAUGGAAGAAAACUUUGGUGCUGAGUCAUGUUUCCUUCCCGUGGGCUCAUGCUGGGAUGGACAGACGUGCCUGCACUGUGCUGGUGUCUUUCAUAUGCCUACAGUCCGUGGUUACUUCUCAUUCAAUAGCAAUUACCGUAUGCCCGUUUUGUGCUAAGGGCUGCUCGAGGUGGAUGCUGUGGUCCCUGUCAGAUGUGUGCCAAAUUGAAAUGCCAGCAGCUGUGUGAGCAGCGGGAUAAUCGUAUCUGCUGCUUCUCUCUUCCAAGUCCUGGCAUUCCCAUUUUAGCAGUGGUGUGUCCAUGCUCAGCUCCACAGGAGGAAAUCCAUUGACUGAAGCCGUGCUGACACCUGGGGGACGUGGCUGCAUGCUCAUCAGUCACCUGUGUGACUGCAGACCCACUGGGUAGGGCGCUGGUGACUCAAUGCAUUGUUUUGAGUAUGGGGAUGUCAAAAAAUAUAGGAGAACUCUAAUGGUUUAUCAUUUUUGCUGUUUCUUUUUUUUUUUUUUUUUUCUUUUUUUUUCUGUCUGAAUGGAGAAACAGCCAGAAUUGUACAGUAAUGUUCACCUUUAGCUUUCAAAAUAUUUACAAGAUUCACUUAAUGUUAAAACAGUCAUUUAAAAAGAGAGAUGGGGGGAAAAAAACCAAAACUGAAACCCAAGAAAGAAAUGACGAAAAGAGGCUUACCCAGAAGCUUGCAAAUCGUCAGCUAGCUGAAUUUAUAUAAACUUUUGGGAAAUAUAGGAGAAUGGGACAAGUCGUCAGAUGGUUGGGUAAGAUUGAUGUAUUUAAUAGUUCAGUUAAUAUGGAUCAACAUCUGCAUUUGGUUACAUCUGCAUAAGCGCCUAACUUCAGCAGAGUUGUGCCGUUGGAACCAAAUUUGGACCAGUGUUUUUAAAUAGGCCCUUGUGCAGAAUACCUACUGAGAGCUCAGUGCUGUUGUGCCUGGUGGCCCUGCAGAGAGGGGGUAAUGCAAUCUGUUAGUGUUUCUCCUGUAAUUUUUAAAACACGUUGAGGAGUAAUAUAUUUUUUUAUAAUAGGGUGCUCCCUGUCUCUUUAAGUAACUGUCAGAUGUAUGAUGUCCUCGUGCCAAAAUGCUACGGUCUGCUCCCUCUGAGCAAUUGUUAAUUAAAUCCAUCCCUUAUUGUAGAGCCUGCCUAGUCUCUUACCCGUUCUGCUUAUCUAUGACACCAGAUGAUGCUUGGUAAUUCAUGGCCAACGUGCUCCCACCUUCAGCAGAGCCUCCUGUGCACUGACCUUAGCCAGCUUCACCUUUUCCUUAUUCCCAAAGAGAACACAACCCUGGAGGCAGCAGUUUUUAUCAACUUCUCCUGCUGACCAGAUGAAGGCUCAGUGAUAAAUAAACGUCCUCCCACCCACUACA
RNAcentral lists this long non-coding RNA (1645 nucleotides) under Coturnix japonica (Japanese quail). RNAcentral describes it as "lncRNA (ENSCJPG00005008264.1)". The record is from RNAcentral. Lineage: Eukaryota; Metazoa; Chordata; Aves; Galliformes; Phasianidae.